RNAcentral lists this ribosomal RNA (2900 nucleotides) under Klebsiella pneumoniae. Its description in RNAcentral is "23S ribosomal RNA". It matches the Rfam family "Bacterial large subunit ribosomal RNA". Lineage: Bacteria; Pseudomonadati; Pseudomonadota; Gammaproteobacteria; Enterobacterales; Enterobacteriaceae. The record is from RNAcentral.
UUAAGCGACUAAGCGUACACGGUGGAUGCCCUGGCAGUCAGAGGCGAUGAAGGACGUGCUAAUCUGCGAAAAGCGUCGGUAAGGUGAUAUGAACCGUUACAGCCGGCGAUGUCCGAAUGGGGAAACCCAGUGUGAUUCGUCACACUAUCGUUAACUGAAUACAUAGGUUAACGAGGCGAACCGGGGGAACUGAAACAUCUAAGUACCCCGAGGAAAAGAAAUCAACCGAGAUUCCCCCAGUAGCGGCGAGCGAACGGGGAGCAGCCCAGAGUCUGAAUCAGCUUGUGUGUUAGUGGAACGGUCUGGAAAGUCCGACGGUACAGGGUGAUAGUCCCGUACACCAAAAUGCACAGGCUGUGAACUCGAAGAGUAGGGCGGGACACGUGGUAUCCUGUCUGAAUAUGGGGGGACCAUCCUCCAAGGCUAAAUACUCCUGACUGACCGAUAGUGAACCAGUACCGUGAGGGAAAGGCGAAAAGAACCCCGGCGAGGGGAGUGAAAAAGAACCUGAAACCGUGUACGUACAAGCAGUGGGAGCACCUUCGGGUGUGACUGCGUACCUUUUGUAUAAUGGGUCAGCGACUUAUAUUCUGUAGCAAGGUUAACCGUAUAGGGGAGCCGCAGGGAAACCGAGUCUUAACUGGGCGUUAAGUUGCAGGGUAUAGACCCGAAACCCGGUGAUCUAGCCAUGGGCAGGUUGAAGGUUGGGUAACACUAACUGGAGGACCGAACCGACUAAUGUUGAAAAAUUAGCGGAUGACUUGUGGCUGGGGGUGAAAGGCCAAUCAAACCGGGAGAUAGCUGGUUCUCCCCGAAAGCUAUUUAGGUAGCGCCUCGUGAACUCAUCUUCGGGGGUAGAGCACUGUUUCGGCUAGGGGGUCAUCCCGACUUACCAACCCGAUGCAAACUACGAAUACCGAAGAAUGUUAUCACGGGAGACACACGGCGGGUGCUAACGUCCGUCGUGAAGAGGGAAACAACCCAGACCGCCAGCUAAGGUCCCAAAGUCAUGGUUAAGUGGGAAACGAUGUGGGAAGGCACAGACAGCCAGGAUGUUGGCUUAGAAGCAGCCAUCAUUUAAAGAAAGCGUAAUAGCUCACUGGUCGAGUCGGCCUGCGCGGAAGAUGUAACGGGGCUAAACCAUGCACCGAAGCUGCGGCAGCGACACUAUGUGUUGUUGGGUAGGGGAGCGUUCUGUAAGCCUGCGAAGGUGACCUGUGAGGGUUGCUGGAGGUAUCAGAAGUGCGAAUGCUGACAUAAGUAACGAUAAAGCGGGUGAAAAGCCCGCUCGCCGGAAGACCAAGGGUUCCUGUCCAACGUUAAUCGGGGCAGGGUGAGUCGACCCCUAAGGCGAGGCCGAAAGGCGUAGUCGAUGGGAAACAGGUUAAUAUUCCUGUACUUGGUGUUACUGCGAAGGGGGGACGGAGAAGGCUAUGUUAGCCGGGCGACGGUUGUCCCGGUUUAAGCAUGUAGGCUGGUUAUCCAGGCAAAUCCGGAUAAUCAAGGCUGAGGUGUGAUGACGAGGCACUACGGUGCUGAAGUAACAAAUGCCCUGCUUCCAGGAAAAGCCUCUAAGCAUCAGGUAACAUUAAAUCGUACCCCAAACCGACACAGGUGGUCAGGUAGAGAAUACCAAGGCGCUUGAGAGAACUCGGGUGAAGGAACUAGGCAAAAUGGUGCCGUAACUUCGGGAGAAGGCACGCUGGUGUGUAGGUGAAGUCCCUGCGGAUGGAGCUGAGACCAGUCGAAGAUACCAGCUGGCUGCAACUGUUUAUUAAAAACACAGCACUGUGCAAACACGAAAGUGGACGUAUACGGUGUGACGCCUGCCCGGUGCCGGAAGGUUAAUUGAUGGGGUUAUCCGUAAGGAGAAGCUCUUGAUCGAAGCCCCGGUAAACGGCGGCCGUAACUAUAACGGUCCUAAGGUAGCGAAAUUCCUUGUCGGGUAAGUUCCGACCUGCACGAAUGGCGUAAUGAUGGCCAGGCUGUCUCCACCCGAGACUCAGUGAAAUUGAACUCGCUGUGAAGAUGCAGUGUACCCGCGGCAAGACGGAAAGACCCCGUGAACCUUUACUAUAGCUUGACACUGAACAUUGAGCCUUGAUGUGUAGGAUAGGUGGGAGGCUUUGAAGCGUGGACGCCAGUCUGCGUGGAGCCAACCUUGAAAUACCACCCUUUAAUGUUUGAUGUUCUAACGUUGGCCCCUUACCGGGGUUGCGGACAGUGUCUGGUGGGUAGUUUGACUGGGGCGGUCUCCUCCCAAAGCGUAACGGAGGAGCACGAAGGUUAGCUAAUCCUGGUCGGACAUCAGGAGGUUAGUGCAAUGGCAUAAGCUAGCUUGACUGCGAGCGUGACGGCGCGAGCAGGUGCGAAAGCAGGUCAUAGUGAUCCGGUGGUUCUGAAUGGAAGGGCCAUCGCUCAACGGAUAAAAGGUACUCCGGGGAUAACAGGCUGAUACCGCCCAAGAGUUCAUAUCGACGGCGGUGUUUGGCACCUCGAUGUCGGCUCAUCACAUCCUGGGGCUGAAGUAGGUCCCAAGGGUAUGGCUGUUCGCCAUUUAAAGUGGUACGCGAGCUGGGUUUAGAACGUCGUGAGACAGUUCGGUCCCUAUCUGCCGUGGGCGCUGGAGAAUUGAGGGGGGCUGCUCCUAGUACGAGAGGACCGGAGUGGACGCAUCACUGGUGUUCGGGUUGUCAUGCCAAUGGCACUGCCCGGUAGCUAAAUGCGGAAGAGAUAAGUGCUGAAAGCAUCUAAGCACGAAACUUGCCCCGAGAUGAGUUCUCCCUGAGACUUUAAGUCUCCUGAAGGAACGUUGAAGACGACGACGUUGAUAGGCCGGGUGUGUAAGCGCAGCGAUGCGUUGAGCUAACCGGUACUAAUGAACCGUGAGGCUUAACCUU